RNAcentral lists this small RNA (125 nucleotides) under Marmota monax (woodchuck). Lineage: Eukaryota; Metazoa; Chordata; Mammalia; Rodentia; Sciuridae. The record is from RNAcentral.
GCAGGGCACAGUGGCACAUGCCUGUAAUCCCAGCGGCUUGGAGGCUGAGGCAGGAGGAUUGCAAUUUCAAAGCCAAACUUGUAAUUUAAUGAGGCCCUAAGCAACUUAGUGAGACCCUGUCUCAA